This is a long non-coding RNA of Perca flavescens (yellow perch), 695 nucleotides long. RefSeq lists it as uncharacterized. The record is from RefSeq and is a predicted model, not a curated record. The transcript is spliced from 2 exons. Lineage: Eukaryota; Metazoa; Chordata; Actinopteri; Perciformes; Percidae.
CAGUUUUUGUGGGAUAAGGAACAGUCUGGGAGGCACCUGUAUAGAAUUCAAGGAAAAGUGGGGAAGAACAGGAAUGCAUACAGAUGUAAGCAAGAAGAAGACAUUGUGUCCAGAAUGAGGCUAGGACAUACAGGAUUAAAUGGAACAUUAUUUAUAAUGAAAAAGCAUGUUGAUGGAAUGUGUGAAUAUUGCAAAAGUCAAGAGACCAUAGAGCAUGUAAUAAUGUAUUGUCCUAAAUAUCAUCAAGCCAGACAAAGAUUGAUUUCACAACUUGUUGAAAACCAGAUGACAUUACAUUUACCUGAUAUACUGCAAAAAAGGUCUGGUGAAAUUUGUUUUAAUUUUUUGUUUUCUUUUUUGAAGAUAACUGGGUUAUUUAUAAGGAUUUAAGAAAGUGUAGGUUGACCUCUUGAACCACACUCCAGCCCAGAUGGUGGCGGUAAUGCUCCAAAAGCUGGUUGCCAACCACCAUUCAAAAUCACAAGAAGAAGAAGAAGGAGGACCCUCCUUUUCAGAGUCAUUCACACAUGUGCAGGGCAAGAUUGUGCAUCAAGUUGAAUCCUCAGAUUGUAGUAUGAUUUGGUGUGCGUGCAUCUAAUGAACCACACCCAAGCUCCCAAGCUUCCAUUCACCUGAUCAUCUCUGUUCUGUGUUGUGGGUGUGAAGAUUUAAUGUGUAAUAAAUCUUUGAACGAC